ACGAACGCUGGCGGCAUGCCUAACACAUGCCAGUCGAACGAGACCUUCGGGUCUAGUGGCGCACGGGUGCGUAACGCGUGGGAACCUGCCCUUAGGUUCGGAAUAACUCCCCGAAAGGGGUGCCAAUACCGGAUAAUGUCUUCGGACCAAAGAUUUAUCGCCUUUGGAUGGGCCCGCGUUGGAUUAGCUAGUUGGUAGGGUAAAAGCCUACCAAGGCGACGAUCCAUAGCUGGUCUGAGAGGAUGAUCAGCCACACUGGGACUGAGACACGGCCCAGACUCCUACGGGAGGCAGCAGUGGGGAAUAUUGGACAAUGGGCGAAAGCCUGAUCCAGCAAUGCCGCGUGAGUGAUGAAGGCCUUAGGGUUGUAAAGCUCUUUUACCCGGGAUGAUAAUGACAGUACCGGGAGAAUAAGCUCCGGCUAACUCCGUG
This 432-nucleotide ribosomal RNA is filed under the name uncultured bacterium. Its description in RNAcentral is "partial 16S ribosomal RNA". It matches the Rfam family "Bacterial small subunit ribosomal RNA", at positions 29 to 507 of the family's 1533-position model. The record is from RNAcentral.